GUUCGUUUCAGAAUCCUGAACGGUAAUGGGUGAUAAGACGAGAGACCCACCUUGGUUGAAUUACAUCGGGAUGUCAUGGUAAUUACAGUUUGCCCUCGUAACUGAGCUCUUCCAUUGACGUCAAUCAUGGCCAACAAACGUCCAAACAUUUUCUCAUCCCGGAUAUAAAUUCAUGAAUAAAUUCAAAUGGCCGUUUCAGUUUGAUCUGACUCUUUUCCAGUGGUAUGUGCAUGGAGAUGGCAGUUCUGAUAUAGGGGAGGGGUUGGAUGGCCUAAAGGACAAGGCAUCCUUUGAAACUUCCAGUCCAGUUUCACAAGGGAAAAGAUGGUUAAGAUCGAAUGUAAGUUGUCAUCAGUGUCGUUGUUUUGUAACCGGGUUACUCAAGUCAAUAACGGCAUCAUAAAGAGACUUUAGAAUUAAAUGAACAAUGUUCAAGGCAUCGAAGCACUGUUUUCACGAAAUCAUGCAAGAUUUGGAGUAACAAGCGAUGGAAAUUGAUCGAAUAAUUCUCAUGUUUCCGCGACGAGAAGUUAAAAUAUCAACGCCGGCUCUUCAAACACGAAGCGCGGUGAGCGAGUAACUCGGGGAUGAACUGCGACAAAAUGAUCACAUUUUGACAAGAAUCCGAUCUAAUAAAUCCGACAACGUGGAACUAUCAUCCAAGAUAUUAGGAACAUAGUACUUUGAAAAAAUAUGUCCGAUGUCACCAUCUACAUGAAAACUGACAGCGAAUUUUCAACUUCUAUUGUCGAAAUGCGUCACAUUUCGAAAGCACGUCAGAAUGUCUUGUAAUCGUCUGCUGUUUUACCUGUCAAUCUUCCCCAGCAAUAUAUUCGCGCGCUGUAUCCACAUCUUCGGUUGACGAACUUCGAUUGUCGUAGUCUCUGUGAACAGGAGUUUGGUCGUUGUUAUAUGACAACAUGACGUGAUUAAUGGCUAUAGCCAGUGCCAUUUGAAUAUUGGAAUGAUAAGAAUCUCCUCGGACAAGUAUGUUCAGAUAGGGUCAGGGGCGGAACAUGGAUAGGGUGUUUAGUAAAAUGAAUAUAUCCAGGCACCCAUCGUACUGUUCGAAGAUGCUGUAUAGUACAAUUAUUGUAUAAAUCAAUUAGCAUGAAAUACCUUCUGUUUUACCACAUUAUUGUAAAGCUUUUUAUACCACGAUGAAAGUUUAUCAACGACUUAUUUGACAAUUAUUUAGCAGAUCAUUUAAACAAAAUCUUAACUGCCUGUUGAAAGAGGUAGUUGAUAGAUCCAGCACCCUCACCUACAUUGUUCAAUGGUUAACACUGAAAACUUUUUUUUUUAAUCAAGACUUAGCUUACAACUCAUGAUGUGUGACUGUUCCCCUCACAUACACAAAUUGUGUUGCGAUACUGAUAAGGAUUAAAAUAUUAAAUUAUUCAGUGUUUAUUCCGUACAUUAGUAAGAAUUAAUAAUUGCGUCAUUGUUAGGUAGUCUAUAGAUCUGGACGUUAGUAGUUAUUUGUUUGGAAACCCCCACACUCACACAAGUGAAAAGAGAGAGAACUGUAUUAUGUGUGAGUGUAGGGUUUUCCACAGGCACAAGCACGGAUUUGGCUUUUUUUUCAACAGGGGGGUUUGACCGAGAAAUUUGACAAGUCCCCCCCCAAAAAAAAAAGAGAGGAAAAAAAGGAUUUCACUACUAAAAGCAGGUCAUUAUAGUAUACCGAGAACUUUGAAAGCACACACACAAAAAUGAUUGGCUCCAAAAUGUAGGUCUUAACUUUUUUUUUACUUGGCAGCCGAAUGGUUUCACUACCAAACGCCGGUCUUUUGAAAAGCACAAAAAAGGGGUUGGCUCCAAAACGUAAGUCUUUACUGCAUUUUACAUGGCAGCCCAAUGGGGGAGGGGGGGUUAAACUUCCUACCCCUCACCCCCCCCCCCCCCCGCCACUGUUCCAAACAAAUAACUACUAACGUCUAAAUCUACUAGACUUUACAUUGUUAAGUGUGGGGCAUUGUAAUAUGAAGUAUCUCACCGGGUUAAAGCAUAGGGAAAAACUUAUAGGCCUUGAUGUGGAAAAGGGCAAGAGACGUAAUUAAUCAAGUAUUCCUGAGCCAGUUAGCUUCAUCAUCUUGACAGCUCUCAUAGUCAGCAUCAACAACAUCAUCAUCUUCAUAAAGUAACACCAACCCCUUGCCACAUUCAUCACCAUCGUCAUCAUCAUAAUUAUCAUCAACAUCGUCAUUAUUGACAUCAUCCCCUCAUCAUCAUCAUCAUGAACAUUAGUAUAACUACCUAUUUUAUCUCUCAUCUUACUAUAAAAGUCAUCGUUAUAGGUAUACUGUGUUGAUAUAAUUUAGUUUAUAUCUAUAUCACAUUUACAUCCCCCCCCCCCCCUCAUAAUAUGUUUAUUUACUCUUUCAACGCUAAGUGCACGCUUUUUUUUGAAUGAAUUGGAUGAUCUUCAAGUAAUUAAAUAUUGAUACUCGACCUACACCUAUUUAACUUGACAUUUCAGUCAAAAUCAUGUAAUGUUUCUUUCAUCUCAUCCUUUUAAAUACCAAAGGGGUGCUAUCAGAUAUUUUUAACAAUUUCCCAGAAUUCAAUUUUUUCUCAUUUGGUCGACUAUACUUUUUUAAAGAAUAAAGAUUAAAAAAUAAAAUAAUUUUGUUUUUGGCUGGGAUUCAUCUGACUUCUUGAAUAUAUUCAGUGCACAGAUCAUGUACCAAAUAAUUCAUUAAAAUUCACUUUCCAUGUAUUAUAA
Long non-coding RNA from Lytechinus pictus (painted urchin), 2728 nucleotides. RefSeq lists it as uncharacterized. The record is from RefSeq and is a predicted model, not a curated record. Lineage: Eukaryota; Metazoa; Echinodermata; Echinoidea; Temnopleuroida; Toxopneustidae. The transcript has 2 exons.